Molecule: ribosomal RNA, 253 nt
Filed under: uncultured bacterium
Lineage: Bacteria
Description: partial 16S ribosomal RNA
Rfam family: Bacterial small subunit ribosomal RNA
Source: RNAcentral
UACGUAGGUGGCAAGCGUUGUCCGGAUUUACUGGGCGUAAAGAGCGCGCAGGCGGUCGAUCAAGUCGAGUGUGAAAGCCCCCGGCUCAACUGGGGAGGGUCAUUCGAUACUGAUCGACUCGAAGGCAGGAGAGGGUAGUGGAAUUCCCGGUGUAGUGGUGAAAUUCGUAGAUAUCAAGCGGAACACCGGUGGCGAAGGCGGCCUUCUGGACAGUGACUGACGCUGAGACGCGAAAGCGUGGGGAGCAAACAGG